CCCUUAGAUGUUCUGGGCCGCACGCGUGCUACACUGACAUGUCCAGCGAGCUCCCAACCUGCUCGGCAAAGAAUGGGUACCCUUUUUAACGCAUGUCGUGAUGGGGAUAGAUUAUUGCAAUUGUUGAUCUUGAACGAGGAAUUCCUAGUAAGUGCAAGUCAUUAGCUUGUGCUGAAUACGUCCCUGCCCUUUGUACACACCGCCCGUCGCUCCUACCGAUUGAGUGCUCCGGUGAACAAUUCGGACUGCAGCAGUGUUCAGUUCCUGAACGUUGCAGCGGAAAGUUUAGUGAACCUUAUCACUUAGAGGAGGAGAAGUCGUAACA
Molecule: ribosomal RNA, 325 nt
Filed under: uncultured eukaryote
Lineage: Eukaryota
Description: partial 18S ribosomal RNA
Rfam family: Eukaryotic small subunit ribosomal RNA
Source: RNAcentral